RNAcentral lists this ribosomal RNA (484 nucleotides) under uncultured bacterium. RNAcentral's name for it is "partial 16S ribosomal RNA". It matches the Rfam family "Bacterial small subunit ribosomal RNA", at positions 30 to 507 of the family's 1533-position model. The record is from RNAcentral.
AUUGAACGCUGGCGGCAGGCCUAACACAUGCAAGUCGAGCGGAUGAAGGGAGCUUGCUCCUGGAUUCAGCGGCGGACGGGUGAGUAAUGCCUAGGAAUCUGCCUGGUAGUGGGGGAUAACGUCCGGAAACGGGCGCUAAUACCGCAUACGUCCUGAGGGAGAAAGUGGGGGAUCUUCGGACCUCACGCUAUCAGAUGAGCCUAGGUCGGAUUAGCUAGUUGGUGGGGUAAAGGCCUACCAAGGCGACGAUCCGUAACUGGUCUGAGAGGAUGAUCAGUCACACUGGAACUGAGACAAGGUCCAGACUCCUACGGGAUGCAGCCGUGGGGAGUAUUGGACAAUGGGCGAAAGACUGAAACAGCCAUGAAGCGGGUGUGAAGAAGGUCUACGGAUUGUAAAGCACUUUAAGUUGGGAGGAAGGACAGUAAGUUAAUACCUUGCUGUGUUGACGUUACCAAAAGAAUAAGCACCGGCUAACUUCGUG